AAAGUUACUGUAAAGAGACAGCAUCAAUUAAUACUGUUUUUUGUUUUGUUUUGUUUUUUGGUUUUUGCUUGCAAGGUUUUUUUUAGAAAAAUAUGUUACUGAAUGAUAAUAAUAUAGCAGAUAUUGUAUUCUUAGGGAGGAGCUACUGUACAUGAUUCAUGUUUUUAUUACCCAGCACCUGCUAUAUUUGAGUUAGUUAUAUCUUUGGUAGAAAUGCGCAGCAGUGAUUUUCAGUCAUUUUUGUCUCUUCGCUGGUCAGGUCUUUUCAUUUUGAGAGAAAAACAGAGAGAAAAACAGCCCAUCAGAGAAGAUAAAGUCUCAUCCUGAGGGUGGAGCAAAUUCACAAAGACUUGAAUGUGUGAAAGGCUGAUUCAGAUGGAGUGAACCUGCUUUGACAGCUUUACAAUCACUCUUCAUCACAAACCAUCAUGCUUCUCUUUUGUUGGAUAUCACUGUCAUUAUUCAUGGGAAAUUCCUUUGCUGACACAAUACAGCCGUCGUCUUCUGAACAACAUAUUUUCAGAGGUGACAGUGUGACUCUGUCCUGUAACUACAGUGGCCGUGGAUAUAACCUGCUAUGGUAUCGGAAAUAUGAGGGAUCAAGACCGGAGUUCCUGAUACUUGUAAAUGAAAAUUCAGAGUCUCGUGAGGAUUCUCUUCGUCUGUCAGCAAAA
Long non-coding RNA from Megalobrama amblycephala (Wuchang bream), 674 nucleotides. RefSeq lists it as uncharacterized. The record is from RefSeq and is a predicted model, not a curated record. The transcript has 2 exons. Lineage: Eukaryota; Metazoa; Chordata; Actinopteri; Cypriniformes; Xenocyprididae.